This 301-nucleotide ribosomal RNA is filed under the name uncultured bacterium. RNAcentral describes it as "partial 16S ribosomal RNA". It matches the Rfam family "Bacterial small subunit ribosomal RNA", at positions 509 to 807 of the family's 1533-position model. The record is from RNAcentral.
CAGUAGCCGCGGUAAUACGUAGGGCGCAAGCGUUAUCCGGAAUUAUUGGGCGUAAAGAGCUCGUAGGCGGUUUGUCGCGUCUGCCGUGAAAGUCCGGGGCUCAACCCCGGAUCUGCGGUGGGUACGGGCAGACUAGAGUGAUGUAGGGGAGACUGGAAUUCCUGGUGUAGCGGUGAAAUGCGCAGAUAUCAGGAGGAACGCCGAUGGCGAAGGCAGGUCUCUGGGCAUUAACUGACGCUGAGGAGCGAAAGCAUGGGGAGCGAACAGGAUUAGAUACCCCGGUAGUCCCUGUCUCUUAUAC